Molecule: transfer RNA, 65 nt
Filed under: Ophiopholis mirabilis
Lineage: Eukaryota; Metazoa; Echinodermata; Ophiuroidea; Amphilepidida; Ophiactidae
Description: tRNA-Cys
Source: RNAcentral
UCCCCUUGGUGAUAUAGUGUAUGAAAGCACGUCAGAUUGCAAACCUGGAAGAGAAACUAACUUCU